Molecule: ribosomal RNA, 292 nt
Filed under: uncultured bacterium
Lineage: Bacteria
Description: partial 16S ribosomal RNA
Rfam family: Bacterial small subunit ribosomal RNA
Source: RNAcentral
GUGUCAGCAGCCGCGGUAAUACGUAGGGUGCGAGCGUUAAUCGGAAUUACUGGGCGUAAAGCGUGCGCAGGCGGUUGACUAAGCUUGCUGUGAAAGCCCCGGGCUUAACCUGGGAAUGGCAGUGAGGACUGGUCGACUGGAGUGUGGCAGAGGGGGGUGGAAUUCCACGUGUAGCAGUGAAAUGCGUAGAGAUGUGGAGGAACACCGAUGGCGAAGGCAGCCCCCUGGGCUAACACUGACGCUCAGGCACGAAAGCGUGGGGAGCAAACAGGAUUAGAUACCCCAGUAGUCC